Molecule: ribosomal RNA, 2187 nt
Filed under: Triticum aestivum (bread wheat)
Lineage: Eukaryota; Viridiplantae; Streptophyta; Magnoliopsida; Poales; Poaceae
Description: partial small subunit ribosomal RNA
Source: RNAcentral
UAGGGGUCCUCCCGCAUGACCGUUUUGCUCUCAUGUGCACCUCGCAGAAGAGGGGGGGUGAGGCAGGCAGACGGGCAAGCAGCAGCGGCGGGGCGGGGCGGGGAACCGGGCGGCGUUGCCGGUCGCAGGGAAACUCUCGGAGGGGGUGGUAAUUUGAUAAGGGAGAUGAGCGAGGGAGAGGAUAUUCGCGGCGGACACCCCUCUCCGAUACUGAAGUCGAGAGGCCGCUUUCCGCCGCGUCUACCGAAGGCGCCGUCGCCGCCCCUGCCCCACGAUGAGCGUCUGCAGGACCCGCGACGCUGCGGAACCGCGGCCUCCGCCGCGGGAGCGUAGCCGCCGGUGGGCGUCCUCCUUGACGAGGCAGAGGCGCCGGCGGCAGAAGCUGUUGGUCUUGGCGCUCAUGCACUAGCACCCGCCGCCCUUGCGCCGCCCGAUGCGCCGGUCCUGCAAGCAGCUCGUACCGUACCGGCUGCCGGCGGAGACGUAGCAGAGGUUUCUCCGACAAGGUGGUAUGCUCGCUGGCCGUGACUGGUUUCCGAUAGACAAAGGUGGUCUUUUCUUCGGCCGUGCGGAUGGACCUAAGGUAUGGACACAACCUAGACCACCGGUCUCCGUCUGACGGCUUACCAUGUUCCUCUUACCGUAUCUCCACGACAUACUCCUAGGUCAACUUCGUAAACUACCGUUUUGUGUCUGGAACUUUUGAAGUAGUCCCUUUUAAGACUUCAUACCCAGUGAAUAGUAAAGAUGACCAACACGUCGACGUUCUGAUGGACUCUUUUAACCUCCUCUGAAUGGACCUCAAGUGAUAUAUGCACUACAACGACUACGACUAAGAGAUCAUAGAAGUAACCCUUUUCGUUUCUUUUAACAACAAUAACCACCCCCGAUAUAACCGUACCUCCACCGACGACGUCGAACACCGACCUUAGAACUGUGUUGAUAUUAUAAGGGUCUUCUAGUGUAUUACGGUUCUAACAAAUGCGGAAGGGAACGAUUCUUCAUACUCCUUGACAUACUCGUUUUACCGCAGUUUAAGCAUUUCCCUCGAGAAUAACUGUUUGAACUACGACCGAGACUACCUUCCCACAGAAGUCGAUAUGAAUUUCUACCAAGACAACAACUUCGACUAUGUCAAUAACAACCAUAUCCUCGUUUUGGUAGACAGUCGGGGAAGCUUCGACACCCUCAAUUGUAGCUUCAACCACCUUAUCUCCAACUAAGGUACAAAUCUUGUUCAUAUGGAUCGUAGAAACGAUAACCUCUACACCGUCGAAAAGGCGAGUUCUACAUACUAUCUUAUCGAGCUCACCUCGUACACCUAGUACGGUCUUUCAGACGUGUUGUAACAUAUCUUUGUGAGAAUUGUAGGGUCCGUUUUCGCAUACUGAUGGAAGGCAUAAAGAUAAGAGCUCAAAAACUCAUACUUCCUUCGAGGUCCUUUUAAACCACCGUUAAGAUGCCUCUAUUGCAACCACUUUGUUAACUUCAUCCCUUGAAACUAGGAUUCUAACGAUGGAAGACCUAACUGAGACUAUCAGCUGACUUCCCACAAAAGGAACUCUCACCUUGGAGUCUCCUUAAGAGCGAAGAAGGUUUCGAGCGCUCUAGUGUCGGGUAACAGCUGUUUCGAUUCGAGUUCUCACGCUGAAGUCAGCUUCUACGUAAUCUCUAACGCUCUUCGAGAGAAAUCAGACCGAGAAGACAAAUUGAUCAACAGUUGUGUAUACCGGAGAAGUCAAACCCUGACGUCGAAUAAAACUUUUCAGUCCUGACGCUACUGUUAUUACGCCGGUAUCAUAGGCAAGAUACGCCCCAAACAUUAAAAGAAUCUACGGGGAGCCGGCGGUAAAAGAUCGAACCGUAUUUGAAACUGGUGGGAAAACUCCCCAACUCCUUCUAUACUACCUUACCCUUAUAAAAGAAUACGUCCAAGCUUGUAACCCACCAUCAUAUUUGAUAUCCGUGUAAUUAUUUUGAAUCAUACUAGUGUGGUCGUUCACAACCCCUUAACCACUGGUCCUCCUGGCUCUUACCCCGUACCAGCAAGGAUACCAACCCCUUAACCACUAGCCCUCCUCUCCUCUUACCCCGCACCAUGUUAGUCGUCCCACGCUCAUCAACCACGUCUACCUGACACUAGAACAGCAAAGUCUGAAGUAGAAUAAAUGACUCGGAUGGGAACUA